Molecule: microRNA precursor, 79 nt
Filed under: Schistosoma mansoni
Lineage: Eukaryota; Metazoa; Platyhelminthes; Trematoda; Strigeidida; Schistosomatidae
Description: mir-3492 microRNA precursor family
Rfam family: mir-3492 microRNA precursor family
Source: Rfam by way of RNAcentral
AGCCUCCUGAAUUCGUGCCAAUAUUUCAAUCAGACACCAAGACACAAGGACCGAUCAAACUUCCAAGAUAAGUGAAGUG